UGCCUUCUAUGAGAUUAAUAUUGGUUUUAUAACUAGGGUCACCAAUUUAAAAGGUUAAUAUGGGCUGAAUUUUUUUUGUUCUUUUAUUAAUUGAUUUAUUUUAAUUUCAUCAUUUAACAUUUAAUUUAUUUGAAAUUGGUCUUCCUACAUUUUCUUUUCUUUUCCUUUCUAUCAGGUUAACUUGAUCCUAUACUCAUGAUCACAUGAUUUCAUGAUUAUUUUUUUCUUUCUUUUAUUAAUUGAUUUAUUUGAUUGAACCCGAUUCAAUGAUUUUAUGAUUUUUAUAGUCUUAGGGUUUACAGGUUAAUCCAGAUUGACUCAUAUUUUUUUAUUGUUUUUUUAUUUUUAUUUUAUUUUUAUCCUUCCAUAUUAAGUUGUUUGAUAAUUGAGUUUCAUGAUUUUAUUCUAUUUGCUUUCGAACAUGGUCACCCUAGUAUUACAACUAUAUUAGAGAUUUUGCUUCUUGAUUCAAGUAGGCUUGGAUUGUUAUUUUUCAACCUUUUUAAAAAUAAAUUUCUUAAUUUUCAUCAUUCACUAUGAGAUUGAGUUCCACCCUUUUUUCUUUUAUUUUUUUAUUUUGUAUUUAUCAUUUUCUCAUUCGAUUCAUUAGGAAUUAGUCUUCGAAUUUUUUUCUGUGUUUUUUUUCUACAAGAUUAUUUAAAUCUUAUGUGCAUGGUCAUGAAGUUUGCAAGUUAACCAGGUUUAACUAAUUUUGUUAUGUUGUUUUUAUUUUUUAUUUUUUAAUUUUUCCUUUUAGCAUUGAGUUGUUUUAUAAUCUGGGUUAGGUCAGAUCAGUUUCUUUUUGCUUUUUUUUCCUUGUUAUUUGUUUUCUGUUUAUUUAUUGGUGCAGUAUUUUUUCUAUUUAUUUAUUAUUGUUGUAUUUUUUUAAUUAUAUUAUUUAAAUCAUUAAUUGAACUAAUAACAUGGAUCUUAGAUUUUUUUUCCUUUAACAUUCUUUUUUUUACAUUGAAAAAAGAUUUCCCCGGCCCGCAGCUGAGCCAGGCCACAAAUCUAUUAGAUAUCUUUAACAGAUGUGGAGGCAAGCCUUAAAAAGUUCCCUAUGAUUACAGCCAAGGGUGUGAUAUCUGAAAUUAUCUACCAUUAAGUCAUUGUAUCGAGCGUUUCUACAAGUUCACUGCUGCCAAAAUUAAUGUCUCUCCUUCCUGCAAAGAUGGCAUCACUUUCCAAGAGGGAGUAAGAAAUAUCUAUUGAUGGUGAUGAACCACCACCAGAAUACUUUUCUAAGGAACGCAUGCAGUUAUGCACGGACAGAUAUGUCCUCAGUGUCGACCACAAUUCCAGUUGUUGAUGUCCGUCUCUUCACAUCAUCUUCAUUUCUUGCUCCCAAAAGAAGAUACACUGGAGAAACUAAGAUCAAGUCUUGACUCGGCUGGAUGCUUUCAGGUUUUGAAGUUUAUGUGACACCACCUUCAAUUCCUCUACCAUUUUUAUGCGUAGCAGUCUGUUUAAUCACCCGAUGUUCAGUUAUUAUUAUCUCCAAGUAACAGAUUGGAACUUGGAAGUUGAGAUUGCAGGGUUUUUUUUUUUUUUUUGUCUUCCAUGUAUCUCUCCAAACUUAGAAAUGGACAUUAAAAUUCUUGAUGUAAGGUAAUAGGACACGGCAUGUCAGGUGCAUUCCUUGAAAGAGUGAGGAAAAUUGCACGUCAUUUUUAUCCACUUCCGAUUGAAGAGAAGCAAAAAUAUGCACUGCCAGUGAAUGAAGAUGAAGGGUAUGGGAUUGACAGGAUAAUUUCAGAAACACAAGUUCUCAACUGGUCCCAUCGCCUAGGUUCUCAUAAAUGACAAAUGGGCUAGAGUUCCCAUAGCUGCUGAUGCUCUCCUCGUCAAUCUUGGAGAUCAAAUGCAGAUAGUGAGUAAUGGAAUAUUCAAAAGCCCAGUGCACGGUGUGGUGACCAACUCGGAAAGAUUGAGGAUCUCUGCUGCCUUAUUCAACGAAACAGACCCAGAAAAAGAGAUUGGACCUGUGGAUUGCUUGGUGGAUGAGCAAAGACCAAGACUAUACAGAAAUGUUAAAAAUUACGCCCUCAUCUACUAUAAGAGGCACCAGAAAGGCAAGGUUGCAAUUGAGACGCUAAAAAUUUCUUAGUUUUGUCCUCUUUGUUGCUUCUUGUCCAGCUACUUGAUUUCGAAAGUUGGAGUUCAAGGUCAUCGUAGAGCCAUAGUUCCAUUUUGUGAUUUUGUAAUAAAUUACUUGUCAAAUUAACAACAUUUAAUUUGAUCGAGUUAAUAAAUUUUAUAAUUGAAUUAAGCAAUCCAAUAAAUUUCCUUACUAAUUAA
Molecule: long non-coding RNA, 2298 nt
Organism: Populus nigra (black poplar)
Lineage: Eukaryota; Viridiplantae; Streptophyta; Magnoliopsida; Malpighiales; Salicaceae
Exons: 2
Source: RefSeq, a predicted model, not a curated record